Molecule: long non-coding RNA, 270 nt
Organism: Hipposideros armiger (great roundleaf bat)
Lineage: Eukaryota; Metazoa; Chordata; Mammalia; Chiroptera; Hipposideridae
Exons: 3
Source: RefSeq, a predicted model, not a curated record
UGGAGACCAGCAUGAAGCGGAAUCCCAAAACUAUGGCUCAUGAAAGGUUUUCAUGGUGAUCAGCCUCUGACUCUUGAAACCUUCAAAGAAUUCGACCAGAGACGUUCAGUGAGUUGUCAAGGGACACCCAGUUUGUGACAGAGCAAGGAAGAAAACUGUUACCGUUCGCUUUCUCACAGGUGGUGCUGCCCUUGCAUGGUCCUUCCUUGGCCUCCCCGCCGAACCUUCCCAGUUCUCUACACUGUCCCCAGAGCAGCAGAAUGAACACAC